RNAcentral lists this ribosomal RNA (218 nucleotides) under uncultured Lactobacillus sp. RNAcentral's name for it is "partial 16S ribosomal RNA". It matches the Rfam family "Bacterial small subunit ribosomal RNA", at positions 144 to 355 of the family's 1533-position model. Lineage: Bacteria; Bacillati; Bacillota; Bacilli; Lactobacillales; Lactobacillaceae. The record is from RNAcentral.
UAACACCUGGAAACAGAAUGCUAAUACCGGAUAACAACAGAUGAUGCCUAUCAACUGUUUAAAAGAUGGUUCUGCUAUCACUCUUGGAUGGACCUGCGGUGCAUUAGCUAGUUGGUAGGGUAACGGCCUACCAAGGCGAUGAUGCAUAGCCGAGUUGAGAGACUGAUCGGCCACAUUGGGACUGAGACACGGCCCAAACUCCUACGGGAGGCAGCAGC